UGACAGCGCCCUGCCUGGCUC
This 21-nucleotide microRNA is filed under the name Homo sapiens (human). Its description in RNAcentral is "hsa-miR-2277-3p". The record is from miRBase by way of RNAcentral. Lineage: Eukaryota; Metazoa; Chordata; Mammalia; Primates; Hominidae.